RNAcentral lists this ribosomal RNA (592 nucleotides) under uncultured bacterium. RNAcentral describes it as "bacterial SSU rRNA". It matches the Rfam family "Bacterial small subunit ribosomal RNA", at positions 334 to 917 of the family's 1533-position model. The record is from RNAcentral.
UACUCCUACGGGAGGCAGCAGUGGGGAAUUUUGGACAAUGGGCGAAAGCCUGAUCCAGCAAUGCCGCGUGUGUGGAGAAGGCCUUCGGGUUGUAAAGCACUUUUGUCCGGAAAGAAAUCCUUGACUCUAAUACAGUCGGGGGAUGACGGUACCGGAAGAAUAAGCACCGGCUAACUACGUGCCAGCAGCCGCGGUAAUACGUAGGGUGCAAGCGUUAAUCGGAAUUACUGGGCGUAAAGCGUGCGCAGGCGGUUUGCUAAGACCGAUGUGAAAUCCCCGGGCUCAACCUGGGAACUGCAUUGGUGACUGGCAGGCUAGAGUAUGGCAGAGGGGGGGGUAGAAUUCCACGUGUAGCAGUGAAAUGCGUAGAGAUGUGGAGGAAUACCGAUGGCGAAGGCAGCCCCCUGGGCCAAUACUGACGCUCAUGCACGAAAGCGUGGGGAGCAAACAGGAUUAGAUACCCUGGUAGUCCACGCCCUAAACGAUGUCAACUAGUUGUUGGGGAUUCAUUUCCUUAGUAACGUAGCUAACGCGUGAAGUUGACCGCCUGGGGAGUACGGUCGCAAGAUUAAAACUCAAAGGAAUUGACGGA